UCCGUUUUGUCAACGGCAGUCUCGCUAGAGUGCUCUUGCGUAGCAACUAACAAUAGGGGUUGCGCUCGUUGCGGGACUUAACCCAACAUCUCACGACACGAGCUGACGACAACCAUGCACCACCUGUCUCUACUUUCCCCGAAGGGCACCUAAUCCAUCUCUGGUUCGUUAGUAGGAUGUCAAGCCCUGGUAAGGUUCUUCGCGUUGCGUCGAAUUAAACCACAUACUCCACCGCUUGUGCGGGCCCCCGUCAAUUCCUUUGAGUUUCAACCUUGCGAUCGUACUCCCCAGGUGGGAUACUUAUUGCGUUAGCUGCGGCACGGAGGGGGUCAGUCCCCCCACACCUAGUAUCCAUCGUUUACGGCGUGGACUAC
Molecule: unclassified non-coding RNA, 374 nt
Filed under: uncultured Oscillospiraceae bacterium
Lineage: Bacteria; Bacillati; Bacillota; Clostridia; Eubacteriales; Oscillospiraceae
Description: contains 16S-23S intergenic spacer region
Source: RNAcentral